CGGGGUGCACCAGGCGCGAAAACUUUACAAUGCUGGCAACAGCGAUAAGGGGACCUCGAGUGCCAGGUUACAAAUCUGGCUGUCGUGAUGCCUAAAAAGCAUUGCAUAGCAAGGGCCGGGCAAGACCGGUGCCAGCCGCCGCGGUAACACCGGCGGCUCGAGUGGUAACCGUUAUUAUUGGGUCUAAAGGGUCUGUAGCCGGCCGGAUAAGUCUCUUGGGAAAUCCAGCAGCUCAACUGUUGGGCUUUCAGGAGAUACUGUCUGGCUCGAGGCCGGGAGAGGUGAGAGGUACUUCAGGGGUAGGGGUGAAAUCUUGUAAUCCUUGAAGGACCACCAGUGGCGAAGGCGUCUCACCAGAACGGACCUGACGGCAAGGGACGAAAGCUAGGGGCACGAACCGGAUUAGAUACCCGGGUAGUCCUAGCCGUAAACGAUACUCGCUAGGUGUCGGCCACGGUGUGACCGUUGUCGGUGCCGUAGGGAAGCCGUGAAGCGAGCCACCUGGGAAGUACGGCCGCAAGGCUGAAACUUAAAGGAAUG
This 540-nucleotide ribosomal RNA is filed under the name uncultured archaeon. RNAcentral describes it as "bacterial SSU rRNA". It matches the Rfam family "Archaeal small subunit ribosomal RNA", at positions 326 to 866 of the family's 1478-position model. The record is from RNAcentral.